This 908-nucleotide unclassified non-coding RNA is filed under the name Hevea brasiliensis (rubber tree). The record is from RNAcentral. Lineage: Eukaryota; Viridiplantae; Streptophyta; Magnoliopsida; Malpighiales; Euphorbiaceae.
ACAAAAACUAUAUGCGUCAGUUCCCUGCAGCAGUAAACAAACUAAUAAAAAUCAGGCAGAAAGACAGGGAGCAUAAAACAACAUAACAAGAUCUACAAGGAUUUCAAAGAUAAAAAUUAGCAAAUUAUAUUCAAGAAACAUAUAUUAUGAGAAUCAAAUAAGCAAUUAAAAACUUUCUUUAAAAAAUUAAAAAUGAGAACUUCAAACUUUCAGAGAACAUGAGGAAUAAUUAUAUUAGAAACAGAGAAAACCAAAAGAAUAUUUGGAAAAGAGAGAAUUAUAAUGCAUUCUGAUAUAAAGGCCUAGACCACUUAAAAUUACCCAUUUGUGUACAAAAAUUUAUUAAUAAACAUGGGGCAAUUAGGAGCUUAUAAAAAUAAAGCCCACUUACAAUUGAAAUGGCAUUCCUCUUUCAUACAGAAAAGAUCCAUUUUUCCUGAUAACAUUUUUCCCUAUUAUUCUUUCAGAAGGAAAGAAUUCAGGGAUUAAAAUAUAAAAGAAAGGUUAUAGGAAGUACUGCUUGAUCAUUUUGUCCAACUUAGUAUCAAUAAAUCAGCUUUUCUUAAUAUACAAAAUAUCAAUUUAGAUAAUUUAAACAAUCUACAUUAAUAAACUUUUGAUGAUUUGUUUUCUGGGUUGUCCCUUCAUUUGAAGUAUUUCAAUUUACAGUUUUUAACAACCAAUUAUUCAUUUUGACCAAAUCAUUGAUAGAUAUAAUAUCAAAACAUUGAAUCCAUUCCAUAUAUAGCCUUUGCAAAGAAAAACUUCUUGGGAAUAUCCAAGAAAGAAUAUGUUAAACCUUCAUAAAAAAAAUUUCCCAACCUAAUCUUUCCAGAAAAAGCGCAAGCAGUAAUUUUAGAGUCAACAAGAUCAAGACAUCCUGAUAACUCAACUAAGUAUAAAAAAAU